Molecule: ribosomal RNA, 327 nt
Filed under: uncultured eukaryote
Lineage: Eukaryota
Description: partial 18S ribosomal RNA
Rfam family: Eukaryotic small subunit ribosomal RNA
Source: RNAcentral
CCCUUAGAUGUUCUGGGCCGCACGCGCGCUACACUGACGAAUGCAACGAGCUUAUAACCUUGGCCGAAAGGUCUGGGUAAUCUCCAAAUUUCGUCGUGAUGGGGAUAGAUUAUUGCAAUUAUUAAUCUUCAACGAGGAAUGCCUAGUAAGCGCAAGUCAUCAGCUUGCGUUGAUUACGUCCCUGCCCUUUGUACACACCGCCCGUCGCUCCUACCGAUUGAAUGGUCUGGUGAAGCGUUCGGACCGUGGCCUUUGGACGGUUCGCCGUCUGUUGGCUGCGGGAAGUUCGUUAAACCUUAUCAUUUAGAGGAAGGAGAAGUCGUANCA